Molecule: ribosomal RNA, 468 nt
Filed under: uncultured bacterium
Lineage: Bacteria
Description: partial 16S ribosomal RNA
Rfam family: Bacterial small subunit ribosomal RNA
Source: RNAcentral
GACGAACGCUGGCGGCGUGCUUAACACAUGCAAGUCGAACGGAAAGGCCCUGCUCUUGUGGGGUUCUCGAUUGGCGAACGGGUGAGUAACACGUGUGUAACCUGCCCUUGACUUUGGGAUAACUUCAGGAAACUGGGGCUAAUACCGGAUAGGAGCUCCUGCUGCAUGGUGUGGGUUGGUAAGUUUCGGCGGUUGUGGAUGGACUCGCGGCUUAUCAGCUUGUUGGUGUGGUAGUGGCUUACCAAGGCUUUGACGGGUAGCCGGCCUGAGAGGGUGACCGGCCACAUUGGGACUGAGAUACGGCCCAGACUCCAACGGGAGGCAGCAGUGGGGAAUAUUGCACAAUGGGCGGAAGCCUGAUGCAGCAACGCCGCGUGCGGGAUGACGGCCUUCGGGUUGUAAACCGCUUUCGCCUGUGACGAAGCGUGAGUGACGGUAAUGAGUAAAGAAGCACCGGCUAACUACGUG